Small nucleolar RNA from Oryctolagus cuniculus (rabbit), 133 nucleotides. Its record names the gene SNORA71. It matches the Rfam family "Small nucleolar RNA SNORA71". From Rfam's summary of the family: The members of this family belong to the H/ACA class of snoRNAs which bind a number of proteins (including dyskerin, Gar1p and Nop10p) to form snoRNP complexes. The record is from Ensembl. Lineage: Eukaryota; Metazoa; Chordata; Mammalia; Lagomorpha; Leporidae.
ACCUGCAUUCAAAAGUGAUCAUGGCUGCCAGUGCCCUGGUCAUCUGUGAUGCAGGGAAAGGAAGUGCUGAAGGCCGUUUCCCGUGUUUGGAGGGUCCACGCCUGUCCCUUUCAAAUGCUGGCGCUUUCACACA